RNAcentral lists this ribosomal RNA (504 nucleotides) under Amathia vidovici. RNAcentral's name for it is "partial 16S ribosomal RNA". It matches the Rfam family "Bacterial large subunit ribosomal RNA", at positions 1808 to 2603 of the family's 2925-position model. Lineage: Eukaryota; Metazoa; Bryozoa; Gymnolaemata; Ctenostomatida; Vesiculariidae. The record is from RNAcentral.
CAAAAACAUAGCUUCUAGAAAUAAUUAGAAGUAAAAUCCUGCCCGGUGAAAGCAAUUUUAAACGGCCACAAUCGUGCUAAGGUAGCGUAAUCAGUUGUCCUUUUACUGAGGACUAGUAUGAAAGGAAAAACGAGGCUCAACUGUCUCUAUUAAAAAAAUAAAAAUUAGUUUUUAGAUGAAAAAAUCUAAAUGAAAUUAAAGGACGAAAAGACCCUAUAGAGUUUAAAUAUAAUUAUACUAUUCACAAAUUAAACAAAACGAAUAGGAUAAGUAUUUUAAUUGGGGCAACAUAGGAACAAGAAAUUUCCUUAUAGUAAACAUUUAACAUCAUAAAAAUAAAAAUCCUCAAAGAGAUAAAGAAAAACUACCUUAGGGAUAACAGCGUAAUUUUUCUAAAGAGACCUAAUCGAAAGAAAAGUUUGCGACCUCGAUGUUGGACUAAGGCAUCAAAAUGGUGAAGAAACUAUUAAAAGUAGGCCUGUUCGGCCUAAUAGCCUUACAUGA